GGUGAUUUUUGCGGUUGCGACUGUUCUACGUUAAACUACCUUGUUGUUAUCAAAACGGAGGCGUCAUCAACAACAAUUGCACGCUUCCUUGUCACCGAGCGUCAGCCAAUGUUUAAAGAGCCUAUGCCAUUCUUGAAGGCGACUAAUCUUCCAAAUCAACCUGGAGAAGG
Ixodes scapularis (black-legged tick) is the source of this 170-nucleotide long non-coding RNA. RefSeq lists it as uncharacterized. The record is from RefSeq and is a predicted model, not a curated record. Lineage: Eukaryota; Metazoa; Arthropoda; Arachnida; Ixodida; Ixodidae. The transcript is spliced from 3 exons.